This 1340-nucleotide long non-coding RNA is filed under the name Heterocephalus glaber (naked mole-rat). Its description in RNAcentral is "lncRNA (ENSHGLG00000033076.1)". The record is from RNAcentral. Lineage: Eukaryota; Metazoa; Chordata; Mammalia; Rodentia; Bathyergidae.
ACUCACCUCACAGACACCCUGCUGCCUAAUGGAUGCUCCUCCAGGAUUUGAAACCCUUCCUCCAGAAGCAAGUGCCCCCACUACUUCCUACUUCGUCUUGGCUCCAAACCUCAGGCUGAUCCGUGUGACAGUCCAUUAGCUUAGCCGGUGAAGAGUCUGCUCCCAGACUCUGGUGAUCUACUGGCUGAGCAUGCAGCAGUGAGGAUGAAGAAGCCUUCCGGGAAAUGGAGACAGGAAAGACAACUGGGCCUUGGACAGAAGAGAGGAGGCGGACAGGAGGCGGACAGGGUCACACAGUCACCCAGGGCAUGACUCGGAGAAGAGGAGGUGUUUCAGGGCCAUGCUAUUGCUUGAUGGCUAAGUUGCCCAGAUUGGACUUGAAUUGUGGUCUUCCUGCUUCAGGCUCCAAGAGUUCUGGAUUACAGAUCUCUCAGACAGACCCAAGAUUUCUCCUCAGCACCAGGAGGAUGUUACAAAUUCUGCCCCAAGCUGGGUGUGGUGGCUCACAGGCCUGUAAUCCCAGCACUUUGGGAGGCUGAGUCCUGAAGAUGGAACCUAGGGCCUCCCAAGCACUCUACUGCUGAGCGGCCCCUCACCCCUUAAGGUUUGCCUUGUGUUUGAAUAUUGCUACUCUGUGACCUCAGAGUCACAAAGCGACUGGUAUGUGUAUGAUAAUGAAAUCUGUGAACCUUCCGAAUCCACCUUUGAAAUGGGUAAGAGCUCCAUUAAAAACCAUGGGUGCCGGGACCCUGCUAAAUGAUUCCCUAAAGAAGGUGGGAUGGAGGUGUCCUUAGGAGUUAGCCUUCCAGAGAGCCGCCCUGCCCCCAGGUUGCUGGGGAGAGGGGAGCACUUCUCUGUGGACGCACUUGGUGUGAAUCCGCUGCCUCCUCCUGGGGGGGCUCAGUUACAGCCCCACCCCCUGCAGGCUUGGGCCGGAACAACCAGGCGCUCUGCUCCUCUGGAGGCAGGGUUGGCUCCACGGGCUCUGGGGAGCUCAGGCAUCCUGGGUCCAGGAACAGCAGGCCCAGAACCCAGUGUGAGCUGCUGGUCUCUAGGUCUCUCUGUCAUUUGCCCCUUGCCACCUUGCCAUGGGGUCGUACAGGGAAACGGCCAUCUGUGGCUCCUGAACUUGUUUUAGGUCCUGAUAACAGUGAGGGUCCCUUGUCCUUGUGUCCCCUACCUCCUGGUGCUGGGGACGGAACCCAGGGCUUCAUGCUCACCCAGCAAGUGUUCUGGCUAAGGCCACACCCUUAAACCCCAGUGGUGAGAGAAAUUGCAAAAGAUUUCAUUAAGAUCAAACGAAGGAACCUUUAAAAAUAUACCAAUAAUUGACAUCCCCU